This 702-nucleotide long non-coding RNA is filed under the name Capsella rubella. RNAcentral's name for it is "long non-coding RNA (CRUB_LNC001737)". The record is from RNAcentral. Lineage: Eukaryota; Viridiplantae; Streptophyta; Magnoliopsida; Brassicales; Brassicaceae.
AGAAUUGAGAAAAGGACAUGUGUACAAAACAAAGCAACGCAAUCUCUUUCUCUCUGGAAACUCGGUUCUCUCUUUUUUAGAAAAAGAAAAAAAAAAAGAGAGAAAAAAGAAAAGCUCUCUUUUUCCUCUCUCGGUGCUCUUGUGGUUUCAUUCUAGGGCUGCUGCGGCUUGUCCCGUUCUGGUUCGGGAUAUCCGUCCUUCUCCUUUGGGGAGGUUUGUUCUGAAUUUCUCUUCUGCGCUCGGUUUCGCUUCCCCCCCUUUUUUCGAUCCUUUUUCCUCUUCUUUCUCCCUCCUUUUCCUUUCUCGGGCCUGCGCGCCUUGGUUGUUGGUCUUUUGGCCUUGUAUAGCGGGGCCUGCGUGCCUUUGUGAGCCCUAGUGGCUGUGUAUGUUUUUUGGAGCCAGCGUCCCUUUGGUCGUUUGGCGUGUAAGAUGUUUGCCUCUUUUGCAGUAAAAUUAAAAAAGAAAAAAAAAAACAUUGUAAGAAACAUUUACUAGCUUUCGACGUUUUUCUCUUUUAAAAAAAAAAAAAAAAAAUCUUUUUCUCUCUCCAAAUUUUCCUUUUUUAUUAAUUUUAAUUUUUGAGUACCCUUCUUUAGCAACUCCACUGGACAUGCCCUUAGAAUCUCUUAGACCGUUUCUUUUUUACGACAUUGUGGACAAUAUCAAGAAUCGAUAGGGUUUAGGACAUUGUGGACAAUUGAA